Molecule: ribosomal RNA, 466 nt
Filed under: uncultured bacterium
Lineage: Bacteria
Description: partial 16S ribosomal RNA
Rfam family: Bacterial small subunit ribosomal RNA
Source: RNAcentral
GACGAACGCUGGCGGCGUGCUUAACACAUGCAAGUCGAACGGAAAGGCCCUGCUUUUGUGGGGUGCUCGAGUGGCGAACGGGUGAGUAACACGUGAGUAACCUGCCCUUGACUUUGGGAUAACUUCAGGAAACUGGGGCUAAUACCGGAUAGGAGCUCCUGCUGCAUGGUGGGGGUUGGAAAGUUUCGGCGGUUGGGGAUGGACUCGCGGCUUAUCAGCUUGUUGGUGGGGUAGUGGCUUACCAAGGCUUUGAUGGGUAGCCGGCCUGAGAGGGUGACCGGCCACAUUGGGACUGAGAUACGGCCCAGACUCCUACGGGAGGCAGCAGUGGGGAAUAUUGCACAAUGGGCGGAAGCCUGAUGCAGCAACGCCGCGUGCGGGAUGACGGCCUUCGGGUUGUAAACCGCUUUCGCCUGUGACGAAGCGUGAGUGACGGUAAUGGGUAAAGAAGCACCGGCGAACGACG